RNAcentral lists this unclassified non-coding RNA (228 nucleotides) under Hevea brasiliensis (rubber tree). The record is from RNAcentral. Lineage: Eukaryota; Viridiplantae; Streptophyta; Magnoliopsida; Malpighiales; Euphorbiaceae.
CUUGAGUUUGAGGCAAAAACAUCUUUAUUUGCAAGAGGAGCUAUCUCACACCUAACCAUGAGAAGCUCACAUUUAACCAUGGGAAGAGGUCUAGAAGGCGCAUGGCCAGUCAUGGGAAGUCCCUUAGGGUGCAUGGCUUAUUGUGAGAUGCAUUUGGUGGGGUUUUGGAGGCCAUGAGGGGCAUGGCUAGCCAUGAGAAGUCCUUUGGGGCAUAUGGCUUCUUGUGAG